AGCUCGUGUCGUGAGAUUGGUUGGGUUUAAGUCCCCGCAACGAGCGCAACCCUCGACCUUUAGUUGCCAGCAUUCAGGUUGGGCACUCUAAGGUGACUGCCGGCUAAAGUCGGAGGAAGUGGGGAUGACGUCAAAUCAUCAUGCCCCUUAUGACCUGGGCUACACACGUGCUACAAUGGGCGGUACAAAGGGUCGCGAACCCGCGAGGGGGAGCCAAUCCCAAAAGCCGCUCUCAGUUCGGAUUGCAGGCUGCAACUCGCCUGCAUGAAGCCGGAAUCGCUAGUAAUCGCGGAUCAGCAUGCCGCGGUGAAUACGUUCCCGGGCCUU
This 327-nucleotide ribosomal RNA is filed under the name uncultured Anoxybacillus sp. Its description in RNAcentral is "bacterial SSU rRNA". It matches the Rfam family "Bacterial small subunit ribosomal RNA", at positions 1057 to 1382 of the family's 1533-position model. Lineage: Bacteria; Bacillati; Bacillota; Bacilli; Caryophanales; Anoxybacillaceae. The record is from RNAcentral.